CACCCUGACCCUGGGGAUCCCUCCACCCCUCACGGUGCCAUGGGAGGGGUUAGACAGGAGAUGCAUAGAGCAAGGGGACCAGAGUUUGUCUGGGCCUCCCCUCCAGGGCUCUGCCAGGCCUCCCAGGACUGGGACCUCUCCCCUCACACUGCCCUGUGCCCUGGGAGUGCCCGGCCUCACAAGCACAACCCGUCUGUCUGUCUUCCAGUUGGUACUCCUGGGGUGACUGUGCUCCCCAUGGUCGCGGGCUGCAAGGCCCCAGAAGCAGGCGGAAAUGUGAUACUGGCCUGCCUGGUGACGGGGACCCAAUCAGUCAACUGGCACAGAGGGACAGAGAAGCUGUCCACAAAGGACGUUGUGAUUGUGAAUCGCCCGGAAGGGGUCACCUACCUCUACUACCAAAACGUCACCUGGAACCCUAUCCCCGUCAUCUGCAGCGCCAAUGACAUGUCCAAGACCCUCCAGUGGCCAGCCCCUCCGGCCUCCUCCGCCCACAAGGACACACAUCCUCCAGAGGCUGUCCGUGGCCAGGGCGCACCCGGGCUCCUCCCCGCAGCCACCACGGCGCCCAGCAGCCUCGCCGUCCGGGUCCUGGCCACGCCGGGUGCUCACGCCUCUGCCGGGGCGGCCUCCUGGCUCCUGUGCGAGGUGGCGGGCUUCUCUCCCACGGAGCUGGUCCUCACCUGGCAGGAGGGCCCGCGCCAGGUGGACACGGCUUGGUUUGCCACUGCGGAGGCCACGGCCAACCUUGGAGACAGCACGUUCCGCACCUGGAGUGUCCUGCGGGUCCCGGCCGCCCCGCGCCGGCCGCCGGCCACCUACAUGUGCACCGUCAGGCACCCGGCCUCAGGGAGGCUGCUCAACGCCAGCUGGAGCCUGGACGCUGCAGCUCCACAGGCUGCACGGGGCUGCCAAGACGGCCCUGCCUGCCGGGAUGGUCACGAGGGAUCCGUUCAGCAGGCCCCGGACCCCGGCCUGGCUCCCCGGUGGCUCUCAGUCUCCAUGGCGACGGACCGCUGUUCUUUAAAUGUCCAUUUCGUCAAGGACCCCGAGUCUGGAGCACACGCUCGCUAGGAACCAAUCAUUAAUUACUCAAAGAAUAA
Non-coding RNA from Pipistrellus kuhlii (Kuhl's pipistrelle), 1103 nucleotides. The record is from the annotation of a RefSeq genome assembly. NCBI's taxonomy places the organism in Eukaryota, Metazoa, Chordata, Mammalia, Chiroptera, Vespertilionidae.